AGUGAACGCUGGCGGUAGGCCUAACACAUGCAAGUCGAACGGCAGCACAGGAGAGCUUGCUCUCUGGGUGGCGAGUGGCGGACGGGUGAGGAAUACAUCGGAAUCUACUCUGUCGUGGGGGAUAACGUAGGGAAACUUACGCUAAUACCGCAUACGACCUCCGGGUGAAAGCAGGGGACCUUCGGGCCUUGCGCGAUUGAAUGAGCCGAUGUCGGAUUAGCUAGUUGGCGGGGUAAAGGCCCACCAAGGCGACGAUCCGUAGCUGGUCUGAGGGGAUGAUCAGCCACACUGGAACUGAGACACGGUCCAGACUCCUACGGGAGGCAGCAGUGGGGAAGAUUGGACAAUGGGCGCAAGCCUGAUCCAGCCAUACCGCGUGGGUGAAGAAGGCCUUCGGGUUGUAAAGCCCUUUUGUUGGGAAGGAAAUCCAGCUGGCUAAUACCCGGUUGGGAUGACGGUACCCAAAGAAUAAGCACCGGCUAACUUCGUGCCAGCCGCCGCCGUAA
RNAcentral lists this ribosomal RNA (506 nucleotides) under uncultured bacterium. RNAcentral's name for it is "partial 16S ribosomal RNA". It matches the Rfam family "Bacterial small subunit ribosomal RNA", at positions 29 to 523 of the family's 1533-position model. The record is from RNAcentral.